This 543-nucleotide ribosomal RNA is filed under the name Triticum aestivum (bread wheat). RNAcentral describes it as "partial small subunit ribosomal RNA". The record is from RNAcentral. Lineage: Eukaryota; Viridiplantae; Streptophyta; Magnoliopsida; Poales; Poaceae.
AUGACUUCCUCCUCGCCGCUGCUCUUGCUCGCUCUCAUGUUGGCCUGGUCAGCACCAGCCUUCCUCCCGGCGCGCGCCGGCGCCGGCGACCAGGGACUCAAGCACAUCCACCUGUACAUGCACGAGAUCUUCGCCGGCCCCAACGCCACGGCGAUCGUGGCGGUGCCAUCACCACUGGGCGCCAACGCGACGUUCGGGGUGGUCGGCGUGCUCGAUGACGAGCUGCGCGACGGGCCGGACCCGAAGAGCUCGUCGCUCGUGGGCCGGUACCAGGGCAUUUUCGCCGGAGCCGGGCUCGUGAGCCCGCCGGGCAUGCAGUCGGCGAUCAACUUCGUGUUCACGGCUGGGGAGCACAGCGGGAGCACGCUGGCAAUGCUGGGGCCUGUUCUGAGCUUCACGGGUGCCAUCGAGCGCUCCGUGGUGGGCGGCACCGGCGCGUUCAGGAUGGCGCGUGGGUACUGCGUCAUGACGGCCGCGGGCAACCCCACGCCGGACUCCAUCGUCUAUGAGGUCGACCUAUUUGUGAAGAUGGAUUAUGCCUGA